Non-coding RNA from Schizosaccharomyces octosporus yFS286, 73 nucleotides. NCBI's taxonomy places the organism in Eukaryota, Fungi, Ascomycota, Schizosaccharomycetes, Schizosaccharomycetales, Schizosaccharomycetaceae. The record is from the annotation of a RefSeq genome assembly.
GGUCUCGUGGCCCAAUGGUCAAGGCGCCUGACUACGGAUCAGGAGAUUCCAGGUUCGACUCCUGGCGGGAUCA